Molecule: long non-coding RNA, 792 nt
Filed under: Monodelphis domestica (gray short-tailed opossum)
Lineage: Eukaryota; Metazoa; Chordata; Mammalia; Didelphimorphia; Didelphidae
Description: lncRNA (ENSMODG00000033425.2)
Source: RNAcentral
GUCAACCGUGACACACAGGAGAGAGUCUGAAGACUAGAAGUGCUCCUACAUUUUCGUGGUACAGCCAAUGACUCUUCCUAGACUCCAUCUCACAUUUCUCGGGCGGCGUGGAGUUGGAAGGCAGCAUGCUGCGACCUCACUGACUGAAGCCGCCUCUAGUUUUACAGGCUCCAGGCAGUGAAGGCUUCUGAGCAGAUACAUCCUGGAGUCAACUUUAUGCUUUAAGAUUAUUUUGACAGCUGAAGAGGGAGGGCUGAAGAAGAAGGUCCUACAACCUGGACGUCUAAUCCAAGUGGUGUUAAAAGCCUGGACCAGAGCGUGCGCCAUUUUGUUAGAGACAAUUUCUGAAAAUGACCACGAGGAAAUAAAUGAGAGGGAGAUUUCAAAGGGAGGGCAGGCUGAAGGGAAGCCUCCCAAAGCCCGGUUUGAUAUCCCUUUCAGAAGCAUCAUUAUGGACCGAAACAACAUGGAAUCAGGCCUGAGGCUUGGUUGUCCAGCCCUACAGCCAGAAAAUAAAGACUGUAAUACAGAAAAACAUAGACUCUUACAAAAAUAACAAUCUGGGCUAAGCCACAGAACUCAAAAAUAGCAUCUGGUUCUUCUGCUAAAAUGUCUUUCUUUCCUGCCAGGCCUAGCCCUGGAGACAGACUCCUACAUUCCUGCUACUGUCCUUCCAAAUAGAAAAAGGGGGACAAAAGGAGGGUGGGGACUAGGGAGGAGGGCAAGGAUGAUCCUCUUCUGUGGUAUGAUAUAGAAAAUAAAGAAGGAAAACCAUUUAUAAGGACCCCUCUG